UUAAAUACAUAAUCACUUAUAGUAUAAUAUAAUAUUAUAUGAUUUACGCUAUUUUACUAUACGUAGUAUAGUAAACCGUCAAAAAUCAAAACACAUACCGUAGAUCCUAAAAUCUACAAUAAGAAUUUGAUAGUGAUCGGGAGUUCAAUCUAGGGAAGAAAUAACGUGGGCAACGAUAUCCUCAGAACACAACGAUAUAAUCAGGUCUGAAUCGUCGAAAAUGAACUAUAUUUGUAGGUCGAAUAUCAUAGAGAUAUCAGGAGAAGGAAGGAUGGUGACUGA
Molecule: long non-coding RNA, 282 nt
Filed under: Brassica napus (rape)
Lineage: Eukaryota; Viridiplantae; Streptophyta; Magnoliopsida; Brassicales; Brassicaceae
Description: long non-coding RNA (BNAP_LNC022173)
Source: RNAcentral